AUGGACAAAAAGAGAGUGGAAGUUCGUGUACGUGAGGGAAGAUUGAGCGGCACCGUCGAGGAAGCUGUUUUUGGUGACCCUUACAUCGCCUUCCGCGGGAUACCGUACGCGAAGCCACCAGUCGGCGAACUCAGAUUUAAGGAUCCGUUGCCUUCGAAACCAUGGUCCGGAGUCAGAGACGCUUCGAAGCACGGCAAUAUCCCCAUUCAGAGAGAUCCAAUAACGCGCGAGCUGAUCGGCGACGAAGAUUGCCUCUUCCUGAAUGUAUAUACCAAGAAUAUCAAGCCUUGCCAGAAACGGGCCACGAUGGUAUGGAUAUACGGCGGCGGUUAUACCAUGGGUUCCGGCGAUAUGAGCUUCUACGGUCCCGAUUACAUUAUUCAGUGGGACGUGGUGCUGGUCACCUUAAAUUACAGACUAGGCGUUCUCGGAUUUCUGAAUCUUGACAAUGAGGUAGCACCAGGUAAUCAAGGUAUGAAAGAUGUGGUCAUGGCAUUGAAGUGGGUCCAGCGAAAUAUAUCAAAGUUUGGUGGUGACCCGGGAAACGUCACAAUCUUCGGCGAAAGUGCUGGUGGAGCCAUCACACAUUUUCUCUCUGUGUCUCCAUUAACCAAAGGUCUGUUUCACAAAGCGAUAUCACAAAGCGGCGUGGCCAUCAAUCCAUGGGCCUUUAACGAAUGGACGAGCGAAGUAAACACAGGUCUUCUGUUUGCCGAAAAACUUGGUAAAGUGACCACGGAUCCGAAAAUCGCCUGUGAAUUUCUGAAAUCGAUUGAUGCGAAGGAACUCAUAAAAACAGAGCAGAUAUUUUUAUCGGAAAACAAAAAUCUAGCCAUCGCAUUUGCACCAAGUCCGGAUUCUGACAUGCCGAAUCCAUUCUUCCCAAAACGUCUCAAAAAUUAUGUAGACUGUGGAGUCCAAGUGCCGUUUCUUUUGGGUUUCAACAGUUGCGAGGGGUCAUUCCUCGUAAGCAGCAAUACUUUUGGAAACUUAAGCAAAAAUACUAUUCAGCAAAUCGAUUCUGAUUUCAAGAGGGCUAUACUAUCCAAAGUUCUGCCUACUUUGCCACUGAUACCGAUCACAGUGCAAGAAUUACGAUCUUUAUACUUUGGUGAUAAGGCAGUAUCAGAGGAAACUCUAGACAUUUACGCUGAUUUUCUUGGCGAUCAAUAUUUCUGCCGCGGUAUUAUGAAAAUCGCUGACAUUCAAGUGAAUCGUGGUAACUCUUGUAAAGCAACGUAUUUGUAUAAGUUUUCUUACGACAGCGACGAAUCUUUCAUGAAAAAAGUGAUGAACAUCCAAAUACCAGGAGCGCCUCAUGCAGCAGAAUUAUUUUACUUAUUUUGCCCUCACAUAAUGAAAGAGUUAGGAAUGCCAUUGUUUGAACGUGAUUCAAAGGAAUACAUGAUGAUGAAAUGCUUUACGCGAAUGUGGACAGAUUUUGCAAAAACGGGAAAUCCAACACCUGCUGUUACGGAUUUGACUCCGGUUAAGUGGACACCAUUGAAGAAGGGAAACGUGUACGAUUACUUGAAUAUCGAUACUCAAACUCGCAUGGAAAUUUUCCAUAAAGGACAACAACGCUGGGAUUGGGAAAAUCAACUGAUUUCUCACCGUGCAUAUCGAGGAAUUCGUGUUGCGGUGCCGUAACUAAAGAAGUAAUCAAUGCUUUCAAUAAUCAAUAUCGAUUAUUAUCUUAUAAUUUCAAUCUUAAUCGACAUUUAAUCAGUCUGAAAUCUACUGGACUUUCUUUUUAAAAUUUCGACGUGUUUUGCUGAGAUAAGCUUGCAGGGCAGUUUGAAGUUAGUGAAUCAGUAUCCAGUCAUUUGAGAGCAGUGGGAAAAACCCAGAGGGAAAGAAACUUUAAUAUCAUACGAAUUUUUGCAAGUACCUAAUAAGAAAGCAACUUAAAAUGCAUAUUUAUUUCUAAAUGAAGAUUUGCAAAUACAGGAUAAAUCAAAAUAAUAAUAAAUCGAAAAAUUUUCAGAAAUGAUUUAUACUUAUACCUAUAUGAGUAUUUUAAAAUUCAGAAGGUUUAUCUAUUGAUGAUUAUAGUUAUAAUAAGUAGUAAAUUAUUUAUCAAUUAUUUACCAAUUUGAUAGUUGCUAUCAAAUUUGAUGAAUUUCAGUUAGACAGAUAACAGUAUACCCUCUCUUAUCUUUCUAAAUAAGAGUACA
This 2177-nucleotide unclassified non-coding RNA is filed under the name Ooceraea biroi (clonal raider ant). RNAcentral describes it as "esterase FE4, transcript variant X1". Lineage: Eukaryota; Metazoa; Arthropoda; Insecta; Hymenoptera; Formicidae. The record is from RNAcentral.